RNAcentral lists this long non-coding RNA (991 nucleotides) under Homo sapiens (human). Its description in RNAcentral is "HSALNT0231625". The record is from RNAcentral. Lineage: Eukaryota; Metazoa; Chordata; Mammalia; Primates; Hominidae.
GCUGGAUACAAAUGCCCUGUACGACCUAAGGGCCUCCACAGCAGGAACAAAAGGAAUUUUGUCUGAGAUUUUAGCAGAAAAGUAAUUUUUGAAAUCUAUUCUUGGAUUUAGACGUUUAUUGGAUUUCAAAGCUUCUUGCUGCCCAGGAGCUUGUGAAUACGGUCAAAGGUCCAUGAAAUUUCCAAAGUGGUACCACAGCAGAUGAACCUGAAUGCAAACUGGAGGGACCAACAGAGUCCAGCCUAUAGACAUAAAUCCUUAACUACACCUAGAUCUCACUGUCUUUUCCAAUGGUCAAAAGAGGGGCUCUUGAAAUGGCUCCAUUGUUUUAUAGAAACAAGGUCUUCCUAAGAAGUCUUUUUCUCCUAUCUUUUUCUUACCCAAAAUAAAGGAAUGGCCCAAAACCUCAAGCCAAGCUUACCAGCUAUAAACAACUUGGUGGUCAGCAGCCAAAAGAAGAGUGGACAUGCCAUGGUCAUGUGGCACGUACCCUAUACAAGCUUCACAGAGAAGAAUGGAAGCACUUGAUUGUAAGACAGAGGGUGAGAUGUGAGAGGAAUAUUAACCUUCACUUUCCACAGGCAUUUUUUUCUGCAAAUGGCACCAGCUUUUGGACUUAAAAUUUUAUUCCAAAUACUAUUUAGAUGCAUCAGGGCCCUCAAAAUAUGGAUUUCAAGUUGGAGACAUCAAAGUGCAUUAUUUACUAAAACCACUGCAGCUUUUUUCCCCUCUCCUUUCACAAGAUGCUAUUGUAAAUUCAGGCUGCUUUAAUCUCUGUGAUUAAAAAAAAAAAGGAAGAAAGAAAAAAAAAGUGCUGCUUGAAGAGGAACUGAACUCACAAUCUGGGAGCUAGAAAGUAAAUAUUACCCAGAGAGUACCUCACUUUAAUUACUGGCCUGAACAUUGGUUUCAAUUUACAUGUAUUUUAAUUAGCCACAGAAGGGUUCACCUAUUACUCUCUGAAUACAAAACUUAAAAAGCAAACAGAAAA